CGCUGGCGGCGUGCUUAACACAUGCAAGUCGAACGAUGAACCUCCUUCGGGAGGGGAUUAGUGGCGAACGGGUGAGUAACACGUGGGCAAUCUGCCCUUCACUCUGGGACAAGCCCUGGAAACGGGGUCUAAUACCGGAUACGACCUCCGACCGCAUGGUCUGGUGGUGGAAAGCUCCGGCGGUGAAGGAUGAGCCCGCGGCCUAUCAGCUUGUUGGUGGGGUGAUGGCCUACCAAGGCGACGACGGGUAGCCGGCCUGAGAGGGCGACCGGCCACACUGGGACUGAGACACGGCCCAGACUCCUACGGGAGGCAGCAGUGGGGAAUAUUGCACAAUGGGCGAAAGCCUGAUGCAGCGACGCCGCGUGAGGGAUGACGGCCUUCGGGUUGUAAACCUCUUUCAGCAGGGAAGAAGCGAGAGUGACGGUACCUGCAGAAGAAGCGCCGGCUAACUACGUGCCAGCACCGCGGUAAUACGUAGGGCGCAAGCGUUGUCCGGAAUUAUUGGGCGUAAAGAGCUCGUAGGCGGCUUGUCGCGUCGGUUGUGAAAGCCCGGGGCUUAACCCCGGGUCUGCAUUCGAUACGGGCAGGCUAGAUUCGGUAGGGGAGAUCGGAAUUCCUGGU
Molecule: ribosomal RNA, 624 nt
Filed under: Streptomyces sp. ATT502
Lineage: Bacteria; Bacillati; Actinomycetota; Actinomycetes; Kitasatosporales; Streptomycetaceae
Description: bacterial SSU rRNA
Rfam family: Bacterial small subunit ribosomal RNA
Source: RNAcentral